Molecule: long non-coding RNA, 599 nt
Filed under: Mytilus galloprovincialis (Mediterranean mussel)
Lineage: Eukaryota; Metazoa; Mollusca; Bivalvia; Mytilida; Mytilidae
Source: RNAcentral
CUGAUAUAAGUGAUAUGCAUUUCUAUCUUAUAAACCAUAAGUGAUAGAGACCUAGGAUCUUUUGAUUUGAGGUCCUUGGUCCAAAAAAAUGAAAAUUAGGUCAAGGUCAAAGGUCAAGGUCAUAUUCUAAUAUUUGAAUUUGGCUUAUUUUCACUUAUAUCCAAAGACCGUAUAAGAUAUCAACAAAUUAUUUUUACUAAAUUGUUAGUUGCGACAUGUCGUAACACAUACAUUUUUAUUGCAAGGGCACGUUGAACGUAAAAGGGAGUUUUUUCCCCUCUUGUAUUUAAAAAUACGCGUUUGGUGAUAUAAGUCAUUAACCAAAUAUAAUUAAGACCUAUGGUCUUUUGAUUUGAGGUCCUUAGUUCAUGACCUUGAAAUUGAUCUCAAGGUCAUAGCUUAAUUUGACGUUCUAGAUUUUGACCUUUGCUUUUAUUUUAUAUGUAUACAUGAUAAAGCUAUGAAACUUUUGGAAAAAGGUAUCAAACCAUUUAACCUUGAAAGAAACAACCGGAAGUGACCUUUUGUAAACCGGAAGUAGCUAUUUUUUGUACUUUAUUAAUAUAAAAGUAUAUAGAACCAGAUAUUUUUGGAAUCAG